GGUUGUGUAGUGUAGUGGUUAUCACUCCGGAUUUUGACGUGCAAACUUCGAAACUUCCGGCAACCGCGGUUCGACUCCGCGCUCGACCU
This is a non-coding RNA of Coniella lustricola, 89 nucleotides long. NCBI's taxonomy places the organism in Eukaryota, Fungi, Ascomycota, Sordariomycetes, Diaporthales, Schizoparmaceae. The record is from the annotation of a GenBank genome assembly.